UACAUAGGGGGCAAGCGUUAUCCGGAAUUAUUGGGCGUAAAGCGUGCGUAGGCGGCUUAUUAAGUCUGACGUGAAAUUCCACAGCUUAACUGUGGAGGGUCGUUGGAAACUGGUAGGCUUGAGUACAGUAGAGGUAAGUGGAAUUCCAAGUGGAGCGGUGGAAUGCGUAGAUAUUUGGAGGAACACCAGUGGCGAAGGCGGCUUACUGGGCUGGAACUGACGCUGAUGCACGAAAGCGUGGGGAGCAAAC
RNAcentral lists this ribosomal RNA (250 nucleotides) under uncultured bacterium. RNAcentral's name for it is "partial 16S ribosomal RNA". It matches the Rfam family "Bacterial small subunit ribosomal RNA", at positions 524 to 773 of the family's 1533-position model. The record is from RNAcentral.